UACGUAGGGGGCUAGCGUUGUCCGGAUUUAUUGGGCGUAAGGAGCGUGUAGGCGGCCAGGUAGGUCUGCUGUGAAAACUCGAGGCUCAACCUCGAGACGUCGGCGGAAACCAUCUGGCUAGAGUCCGGAAGAGGAGAGUGGAAUUCCUGGUGUAGCGGUGAAAUGCGCAGAUAUCAGGAAGAACACCCGUGGCGAAGGCGGCUCGCUGGGACGGUACUGACGCUGAGACGCGAAAGCGUGGGGAGCGAACAGG
RNAcentral lists this ribosomal RNA (253 nucleotides) under uncultured bacterium. RNAcentral describes it as "partial 16S ribosomal RNA". It matches the Rfam family "Bacterial small subunit ribosomal RNA", at positions 524 to 776 of the family's 1533-position model. The record is from RNAcentral.